RNAcentral lists this unclassified non-coding RNA (2900 nucleotides) under Neodiprion pinetum (white pine sawfly). Its description in RNAcentral is "protein Nazo". Lineage: Eukaryota; Metazoa; Arthropoda; Insecta; Hymenoptera; Diprionidae. The record is from RNAcentral.
CCUGAGUGUCAACUGGAGUUUUCAGACCUGUAUAUAAGACCGUGGGCAUGAGGACUACGACAUAGAUAUAUAUAUACAUUCAGUGGUGAAUACCCUUUUUGUUAGAUUUAAGAAGGCGGACGGUGAACCGGUGCAGUCAGUGCGAUCGCCACGUCGUAAUUUGUGAAAGAUCUAUGUGAAGUACAUUUUAUCACUAUUCAAGCCGAGAUCAUGGAGAUUACGACAACGGAACUUUUGUGGAAAGUAUCAAAACUACCUCAGCUUACACAUGUUCGCGUUGGCUUAUCUAGAAAGUUCUCAAGAAUCCUAAAUAUUGGAACAUUCGCGGUGAUUACUGGAAUGAUUGGUGCUGCAAUCAACCCUAUUGGACUAGUAAUUGGAGCCAUAAUUGGAGGAGGUUCAGCAGCUUACUUUACGAAAAAAAAAUCUGAAUCAAUUCCUGACUUAAUUAUGAUGAAAUUCAUAGAAAAUCAAAAAUGUGAGCUUGCUAUACGAAUCCGUGGAAGCCUACAAUCGAUUAAAUUACUAACUAGCGAUGAUUUUGAAUUCUUGGUCGCUCAAAACCCAGGUCUCUCCAAAGUUGUAGCUGAGACUGUAACUCAUUACAUAGAAUCCCAAAAUAUGAAAGUUAUGAAUUUCAGUAUGACACAAGUCUGAUAACUACACCCAUGGGACAAUUUAAGGUAGUACCGUGAUAGCAGUAGUCCGCAAUUUCCAGAGAAAUAUCCCUUGUAUAAAACAUUAUAACUAAAGUAAAAAGUAGUUGAGAUACAGUACACCUUUGCGCCUCCUCUCACAUGCGCAGAAGUAUAAAAAUUUUCCCAUUGCGUCUUUUGUCUGACUUGGCAACGUUGCAUUCUAACUCAGUAUCUCUUGCCCCUCAAGCAUGUGUUGUAGAGAAAUGUAUUGUUAUCUAAUCAAUUUGAGGUUAGUUAUAAUUAAUAUUAACAAUUUUAAUUUUUUCUGUACCGUAACCUAUAUCCGCAAAGUUCUGACAUUUAUUUCAAUUCGUUGGGCCUUUAUGGCAUUUUAAACUUCCCGCGUAGGGCAACGUUGCCAAGUCACUAUUUCUCACGGGUCAGGUUAUGAGAGAAAGUUUGAAAAUCAUUAAAAGCAACAAACUUUAAGAAUUAUUUACAAAAAAAUGAAUACUGCUUGUUUAUGUUUUUUUUGAAAAAAAUUACUUGUUAUAUCCUCAAUUAAUAAUUCUCAGUUUUUAAAAAAAAUUCUAAGAAAAGUAUGGCUGUUAUUAAAUAAAAUGCUCACUCUAACUACGGUCGGGAUAGGGAAUACAUGUAAAUUGUACGACUUUUGAUCGCUAAUAUUGCAAAAUUUAGUACCGCAAGGACUAUUAAAAAAAAUUCCUACGUAUAAAGGACACUUCAAAUUAUGUGUAUUCAAAAAUUGAAAGAUAUUGUAAGCAAAGUGAUUUAUCACGGUACUACCUUAACUGAAAAAUCAGAAGGUAUACUAAGUUAAUAGAUAUUUAUAAAAGUGAAAUCGUUUUCGGAGACGCACACAAUGAAUUGUCUGAAUUUUUCAUUUCCGAGUGAAUUUAAUGGAAAUAUGCAUCAUAUUCUAUCUAAACCUUCAACAUAUGCUGUAAGAUCUAAAUCGAACAGACGAAUAGCACUGAUUUUAUUAGUUUUAAGUUUUGUACUAGCUAAUGAGUCACUUUAGUUGUAAAUACUAUUAAUCACGUAACUUGCUUUACAUGUAUUAUACAUAUACAACAUGAAUAUUAUGAUAUGCACCAUUUGUACAGUAUACAUGAGUUUUAGUGCAAGUGUAAAAUAGUAGGAGAAUGUUAUAUAUUUUUAUGGCCCUGUAAUUUCACACGUGUUAUAUAGCUUUUAUAGCCGCGUGCUAUAAAAUUGAACAAAAAUUUCCAUUGUUAGAAUUGACUGAAUCAUUUCAAUCACGAAUAGGAUAUUGAGUAGUUAGUUUCUCUCAUCUCAAUACAAUUUUUACCAGGUAUAUGUAUAAAAUAUACAUCACAUACCACUAAAAAGUAUUUUAUCACAUUUUACAUGUAUACUAGAAAAUAAGAGUAUGUAUAUCCAUCAUAUCUAUACCUGUAUGAUAAUUGUAAAGGUCAGAAUUUUAUACGAUAUAUAUAAUAAUCUACCGUAGUAACUUAAUCAACAAUAUUUAGUCGUGAAAAAGAGUGUCUAACCAUAAACUGAUUGUAAUACUUACUCAUUUAUUGGAAACAAAUUUCAAUUUUUUACCAUUCAGCAAAGUGUUGAUUUUUUUCAUAUACUUUCGAUCCAAAAAAAAUCUUAGUAUCCUCAAAUAAAAUAACUGUCUUACAAAUAAAUAUACAAACUUCCAGAUACCAAUAUUUGUUGAAGUUGAGAAUAGACUUUUCAAAUUAGACUUGGACCGUUCAAAAUAGGCGCUCCGGAAACGGAAAAACAAGCAACGUGCGCUGCGUGCGCGCUCACAGGUACAGCUGGUGGUCCACUCUAGUGGUAAGUACAGUAAAAUAAAUUUUGGUUUCGGUGACGUUAUUGCACACUGGACAUGAUGUGAUUUUGUAAUACGUUAUGCUGUGCUGUACUCCUGUGACAUUAGGGUAGUACCUAUUCUACGUUCAAAACCCGAUGCAACCGUUCUAUCGCAACUGUGUUUUAAGGAAAUUUAAUAUAUGGAUAAGUCUUACCUAGGGAGAGUGAUGCUUCUGUUAGCCUGAUGCGCUCUGCUGGUAAGGAUCGGGUGACAAGGCCAAAACAGCACGCAACAACAUACUUCUCCCGAAAAACUAAAGGAGUUAUCUAUAGAAAGUUCAGUGGUCAUCACCGUAAACGCGAUCAUCACUCAUCGUUGCAGCUGUCAUUACGUUGAAGAAGUGAUCACGUCACACCACAUUGGUAAAUCAGGUCACAAACAAAUCAUGG